Molecule: transfer RNA, 69 nt
Filed under: Salmo salar (Atlantic salmon)
Lineage: Eukaryota; Metazoa; Chordata; Actinopteri; Salmoniformes; Salmonidae
Rfam family: tRNA
About the family: Transfer RNA (tRNA) molecules are approximately 80 nucleotides in length. Their secondary structure includes four short double-helical elements and three loops (D, anti-codon, and T loops).
Source: Rfam by way of RNAcentral
UCCCGUGUGGCUCAGUUGGUAGAGCAUGGUGUUUGCAACGCCAGGGUUGUGAGUUGAUUCCCACGGGGG